RNAcentral lists this small nuclear RNA (21 nucleotides) under Arabidopsis thaliana (thale cress). RNAcentral's name for it is "snRNA_00528". Lineage: Eukaryota; Viridiplantae; Streptophyta; Magnoliopsida; Brassicales; Brassicaceae. The record is from RNAcentral.
UCAAGUGAUACGGCUAAGACC